CAGGCGCCCCUAAGGAAUCAACUUGAAAUACAUGAAACAUUUUUGUAUUUUUGCUGAAACACGUGCAGAGUUCAAGGUGAGAUCUGUGGCCGUCCUGGAGGUAUGUCACAUGGCUGUCCAGUCAGCUGACAGCCUCCAGCUGCUGCACCUUUGGGACCCAACACACAAACUUCACGCCAAAGCCACUGUCUCCAUGGACUGUUCAUCCUCAUGGACCCUGUUCAGGCUUCCUCAGAGCAGACGUCGGACUGCAGUUUGAGGGUACUCUCACCCGGUUUUUCCUUCCUUCUGGUCUUCCACAGGGUUGCACCCUUGUUUGUUGCUCAAAAGGCUUUUCCAGCUUAUGCCUGCUUCCCUUCCCUUUAUUCCUCAUGGAAGUCCCCCCUGGUAAAUCUCCUGUACUCCUGAAUCCAUCUUGGCAUCUGCCUCCCAGAGGACAUAAACCAGCAGACCUACAGGAUGAAAGAGGUUACCUAAGCUAAGAAGGAAGACAGAGAAAUUCGGGAACCUUAGUUUUGGCUCUUAAGAUCUUUCAAUGGAGUGAAUGAAGCCCACCCGUAUUAUUAAGGAUAAUCUCUUUAUUUCAAGUCAACCAAUUGUAGAUGUUCACCACGUCUACCUCGACAGCAACACCUAGAUCAGUGUUUAGUUAAGUAACUGGCGCUACAGCUGAGCCAAGUUGACACAGAAAACUGACCACCGCAAAGACUGGAAACCAUGGGCAGGGUGGGGUCCUGGGACCUUGAGGUUUCCAUGAAGACCAAUGGAAGGAAGUAACAUCCUGCUCCGCGUGAAGACUCAGGGAGCCUGCUGGUUUUGGACUGGCCUUUCCAGAAGGUCUAGAGGAAGUAUUUGUGAACUCAGAGAAAACUGGGCUGAGAAUGAAAAGGAGCUGCAAGAGUGGCCUAUGGCUGUGAACGAACAAGGCUCCCUCUUCUUCCUUACACCUGCAGACUGGAAGAUUCCUCACACCUGGGACCGGCUUCCAUCUCUGAACCACGGCAUCUGAUACACUUUGUGAUCGUUUAUAAGCACUCAAUAAAUAUUUCUUGAAUAAA
This is a long non-coding RNA of Herpailurus yagouaroundi (jaguarundi), 1058 nucleotides long. RefSeq lists it as uncharacterized. The transcript is spliced from 3 exons. Lineage: Eukaryota; Metazoa; Chordata; Mammalia; Carnivora; Felidae. The record is from RefSeq and is a predicted model, not a curated record.